This 253-nucleotide ribosomal RNA is filed under the name uncultured Akkermansia sp. RNAcentral's name for it is "partial 16S ribosomal RNA". It matches the Rfam family "Bacterial small subunit ribosomal RNA", at positions 524 to 776 of the family's 1533-position model. Lineage: Bacteria; Pseudomonadati; Verrucomicrobiota; Verrucomicrobiia; Verrucomicrobiales; Akkermansiaceae. The record is from RNAcentral.
UACAGAGGUCUCAAGCGUUGUUCGGAAUCACUGGGCGUAAAGCGUGCGUAGGCUGUUUCGUAAGUCGUGUGUGAAAGGCGCGGGCUCAACCCGCGGACGGCACAUGAUACUGCGAGACUAGAGUAAUGGAGGGGGAACCGGAAUUCUCGGUGUAGCAGUGAAAUGCGUAGAUAUAUGGAAGAACACCGGUGGCGAAGGCGGCUUGCUGGGCCUGUACUGACAUUGAGGCACGAAAGCGUGGGGAGCAAACAGG